RNAcentral lists this long non-coding RNA (928 nucleotides) under Oryzias javanicus (javanese ricefish). RNAcentral's name for it is "lncRNA (ENSOJAG00000017825.1)". The record is from RNAcentral. Lineage: Eukaryota; Metazoa; Chordata; Actinopteri; Beloniformes; Adrianichthyidae.
UGCUGUUUGUGCCUUCAGCUUGUCUCUGCUGGGUUUCAGGGUUUAAGAGGUGUACCAGGAGUGGCAGGUCCUAUAGGUCCAGCAGGACACAAUGGUCUGCCAGGAAGACCAGGAGAGAAGGGAUCACCAGGAGAGCCUGGAAAGGCUGCAGACCUCUCAGACCUGAACCUGAAGGUAAGACCAUCACAUUUCUGAGAGAUAAAAGCUCCAGGUGGUGAUCACUGGACCGACUGCAUUGCUGUUUUCAGGAUGUUUGCUCAGACUGCCCAGCCGGCCCACCUGGACCACCGGGAAGUGCCUGGAGAUAAAGGACACCAGGGACCUCCAGGGAAAAACGGCCAAGACGGAUACCAGGUCGGACCAAGUCUUUAACUCGAAGACUCCCGAUGUUUUCUGUGAAGCUCAGUCUUUCAGGGAAGCUCUGAAUAAUGUUUAAGUUGUGUUUUUGUACAUUUGGGGGGGUUGAAGCCUGACCUUUGACCUCAUGCUUCACAGCCUGAGUGAUGGACGGUGAGGCUCUGGCUGCAUCAUUACCUGGGCCCUCCAGAGGGCAGUGGUGAGCGAUUGGGCCCCUCUGACAGUCCUGUCUGUUUGAACUAAUGGUUUGCUGUGUCAUUACAGGGUCCACCUGGACUGCCGGGUGCUCAAGGACCCCCUGGAGCUGAUGGAGCAAAGGGCAUAAAAGGUGACCAAGGACCUGCAGGAAACCCAGGAGACAAAGGCGAGAAGGGUCACCCAGGACCUCCUGGACAUCCAGGCCCACCUGGGAUUUUGGGGACACCUGGUAACGAUGGACAGCCUGGCCCAAUAGGAGCACCAGGGCCCCCUGGAGAAAAGGUUAAAGUGUAUUUUAUAUAUACUUUCCUUUUAUAGUUUCUUGCUGUAUUGACUUCUUCAUGCUCAAGCAGCUUUUAACCCUUUCUAUCUG